Molecule: transfer RNA, 75 nt
Filed under: Streptomyces phage LilMartin
Lineage: Duplodnaviria; Heunggongvirae; Uroviricota; Caudoviricetes; Stanwilliamsviridae
Also listed under: 2 other names
Description: tRNA-Cys
Source: RNAcentral
GAGGUAGAUGCAACGGGUGUUGCCGACAGUCUGCAAAACUGUUCGUUAUUGGAGUUCGACUCUCCUCUAUCUCUC